Molecule: ribosomal RNA, 377 nt
Filed under: uncultured eukaryote
Lineage: Eukaryota
Description: partial 18S ribosomal RNA
Rfam family: Eukaryotic small subunit ribosomal RNA
Source: RNAcentral
CAAUAGCGUAUAUUUAAGUUGCUGCAGUUAAAAAGCUCGUAGUUGGAUUUCGGGUGGGAAUGGCCGGUCCGCCGUUUCGGUGUGCACUUGCUACGCCCACCUUGCUGCCGGGGACGUGCUCUUGAGUUCACGCUCGGGACACGGAGUCGGCGAGGUUACUUUGAGUAAAUUAGAGUGUUCAAAGCAGGCCUACGCUCUGAAUACAUUAGCAUGGAAUAACACGAUAGGACUCUGGCCUAUCUUGUUGGUCUGUAGGACCGGAGUAAUGAUUAAGAGGGACAGUCGGGGGCAUUCGUAUUUCAUUGUCAGAGGUGAAAUUCUUGGAUUUAUGAAAGACGAACUACUGCGAAAGCUUUUGCCAAGGAUGUUUUCAUUAA